UUGAGAGUAAUCUCUUUAAGAAUCGGGCCCAUUUAAGAGUAAUCUCUCAAAAAAUGGAGCUAUUUUGAGAGUAAUAUCUCCAAAAAUUGGGUAACAUUGAAAGUAAUAUCUCCAAGAAUCUCCAAGAAUAGGAUCAUUUUGAGAGUAAUCGAAUACGAUCAUAUUGAAAGUAAUAUUUCCAAGAAUUGGGCAGAGAUGAGCAUCCAUCCCCUCACACCUUAAGAGCACUUCCUUCAAGCGCUUCCUUCAUGAAGGGAUCUCACAUGACCUACAAAAAGAAAAAGAAAAAAAGACAACAAAACUAAGAAAAGCACAAGAAAAAAAAAUUUUAUUUCCACAUUAAUACUUUCAACUCUGCAAAACUAAAUUCAUGUGGCUUACAAAGCCUGCGAAUUGAUGCUCAACAAAUACGAAUACAUGGAAUUUAUAUAGACCUCCUAGGAAGCUGAUUGGGAAGCGAGAAUCCGAAGUGGGAUCAUGUUCUGAAAUAGUCUCCUAAAAGGAUUUGGUUUGAAUGACGGCAGCAGUCCGAUGGGAAAAUAACAAAUUAAGAUUGCUUUUGUGUUGUAAGUCAAUAAGGAUUUGGUUAGGACACCUGGUGGAUUUCUCGCAAAGUAAAUAUUGACGCAUGGCCAGUGACAUGAUAAAGAAGACGGCAAUUUGACUUUUAACAUAUGUUAAUGAUAAGGAAAGAAAUAACAAUAAAAUUUCAAGUAGCAAAUGUUGGUCUUACGUGGGUUUCAGAAGUUGAAGUUGGCAACUGCUUAUACCUUCAAUUUGUUUCUUACAAUUUGAUCUUCCUCAAAUGAAUUUUUUAAAAAUAUGGCCUUGUAGAUACUUCUCUCAUACCCGACAAGUUUUAAAGUAUGAGGUAUUUAUAGGCAUAUAAAUUUAUUAAAAUUAAAUUCAUAAAAUAAUUUGGAUUAUAUUUUAAAUUCAAAAUAUAUUGGUUCAAAUAAAUAUUAUGGGCUAAUAUAAUUGAAUUAAUUAUCUACGUCCUAUAUAAAUGGAUUACAUAAAUAAUUCUUAGGAAUUUUUAUAUAUGUAUACCAUAUAGCAAACCUUAUUACCAACCAUGUUUAAGGUUUGUGUUUAUUACAUUUAAGUAUACCACCUUUCAAUUUAUGUACCAAAAUCCUAUUUAAGGUUUAAUUAUCAACUUAUUAAUUAUAGGCUUGAUUUGUGGAACUUAAAAUCUUUUCAGAUGUUUAUGUACCAUAAUUCAAAUUAAGGGUAUAAUUGCUUCAUUUAUUCUAGCCAUGAUUUUAGGAGUAUAUAUUACUUUUUCCUUUUUUUCCUCUUCUCUUUCCUAGUGUUCUGUUUGAUUGCAUAUCUUUCACCAAAGUCAUAGCUUAUUUGUUACCUAUUUAAUUUUUUUUCUCUUCAUUUCCAUCUCUUCAUUUGGCUCCAUUUGGUCUCUGAACCUUGAAGACUAUCCUAGGAUAUUGGAUAUUCCUGUCGUUUCACCUUAUUUUAAGCAAGGAAAUAAACCUUAAGUUUCUUAUAGAGAGUAUUAAAUCAUUUGCAUGACAACUCACUGAACCGCUUAUGAGCAUUAACAGUCUCAAUCAGUUACUAUCAUCUUUUACAUUGUCGUUAUUAUAAGAACAGUAAUGUUUCAGUAUAUUUUCUCAUGCCCUCUCACUACCCACCUCCUAGAAAACAAAGGGAAAAAUAAAUUAUCACAACAACAGCCAAUGCAUAUAAAUCGUUCUUGCCCUUUCCAAAUUCGCGGCACUCCCAAAAUUAAAAUUUUGAAUAUUAAGAAUUGAUUAAAUUUGGUAUGCUUAAAAAUUUUUAUUGUAGUUUAAUUGUAGUAUACAUAUAACAAUACAACUUUAUACAAUACUUAAACUGAUUUUGUAGUUUAUUUGUAGAAAUUGUAUCUACAAACUGAAUACAUUGAAUUUUAAUAUUCCAUAAAUAUAACAAUACAACUUUAUACAAUACUAAAUUGAUUUUGUAUUUUAUUUGUAAAAAUUGUAUCUACAACUGAAUACAUUGAAUUUUAAUAUUUCAAUUCUUAUUUCAAUUGUAGCAUAAUUGGCAUUUUCGACAUAAUUGUAGAAGACUUGUAGAAGUUUUAGUCUUCCCAAUCUACAAUUUAUCUACAAAUUAUCUACAUUUGAUCUACAUUUGAUCUACAAUACUAUAAUUUAACUACAAUUUAACUACAAAAUCUGGAAAAAUAUGUUUUCUUCUUCUUCGACGAGUUUCAAUAAGAAAUUCCGUCAAAACCAAGUCUAAUCUUCACAAAAACCCCUCAAAAUUGAGAUAUAAACUCCUAAACAUAUCUCGAAUUAUUUACAACAACACCCAAUCUAAACAAAUAAUGAUUUUUGAACAUCCAAAUUUAAAUUCAAAGCUUUCAAGCUUUUUAACGGCUAUCAACGGUGGAAAAUAUAUGGAGAAGGAGAAAAUUACGCUGCAAUAGAUAUUCAAGUUUCACCUUUUACAAGAACAGCUCGAAUAUUGAUUAAGCAGCAAACGCAAUAGCUUUUUAAAUUUCUCUGUACUAAAACAAACCCACAGUCACAAAGCAAAAUUUUUGUUAUUUUAUUUUUCUUCCUUUGUGAAGAAAUAAUUAGAUAAAUAAGCCCAUCAACAUCUCUCCUCAGUCCUCUCCCAUGCGUUGAAAUUGAUCAAGCAUAUUUUAAAAUCCAAGGGAUUUUUAAUUGUAGCAUAAUUCGUAUUUUCAACAUAAUUGUAGAAGACUUGUAGAAAUUUUAGUCUUCCCAAUCUACAAUUUAUCUACAACUUAUGUUUUAAAUUUAAAAUUAAUGGUGAUAGAAUCACCAUUAAAUCUGAUUCCUACAACUGUGGAGCCUUUUUAGGGUAGAAUCUAUUUAUUCUUGGUUUGGUACAUAUUUUGUAGCAAAACUAUGGACUAGGCGGGUAAAUACAAUAUUAUGAACAUUUUUGGUAAUAAGGUUUGCUAUAUGGUAUAGAUAGGUAAAAAUCUCUAAUUCUUAAUUCAUUGGGCUAGCUCAUUUAAUUAGGCUAAAGUGACUAGGCCACUUUAUUAAGCCCAAGAUGACAUCUUCCUAGAGGCCCAGUUUGGUGUCACGUAUCAAAUGACGUGGCGCAUCACGUCAAGUGGAAGAGUCAGGAUCAUGCCACGUGUCAAAAUGACAAGGCAUACCCAGUCACACUGAAAUGCCAAUGAAAUCACGCUACGUGUGCAAGUGAUAUGUUCUGGCCAAUCAAAUGCGGUCAUGUCACACUUCAAUUUGAUUGGUCUGAAAGAGUUUGUUCUUAUCGUAACUCUUCAUUCUCACAACUAUAAACAUGGGUCUUCAUAACUUAAAAAAGACACCAGAAGUUAUAAUAAGAAACAAGAAAGAGUUCGUGGAUCAAACGCUGCAUAUUCCUCCACAAGUUUCAAGCUUCAAGUUCAAGCUCAGGAACGAAGAACAAAACAAGGUCAAGUUCAAGCAAUCAAGCUCAAGAACAAGAUCAUCGUUCGAGGAAACAAAUACAUAUUCAAGAUCAAGCUCAAAUGCCCUUGAAUUUAUUACCAUUGGAAAGAAGAAUCAGAGGAUUCAUAAAGAUUGCAACACUCAAAUAUUCGAAAUAAAAUACUACAAUUGUUGCAAUAUUUUCAAUUUUGAUUUUAUUUUCUCGACGUAAAUUUAUUGUCUAUACUUACCAUUAGAACAACCCCUUUUUAUUUUCAAUAAAGUUACUUAACAAAAAUUAUUGAUAUCAUAAUACCUCUUUAUUUUUUUUAACUUUUUAUACCUGUUAAAAGUAUAUAUAUUAAUUUACCCUAUUCAAGCUUUUGUUAGAAACAACAAAAAUCCUCGUGAAGAUCAAUUAACACAAAAAUACAAGGUAAAGUUGUAUAUAAUAGACUCUUGUUAUUCGAUUAUUCUCCGGAUCCUACACAUAGCGAAAGCUUAUUAUACCGUGAUGCCAUUUUAUUAUGGACGAAGGUGCAAUUUCACGUAAAAACACAACAGCCAUAUGACAAACAACAAUAGAAAGCAAGAGUUAAAAAGCUGAAGGGUUACUUGCAAAAAGAGCAGAAACAAAUAUCAGUAAAUAUAGCUGUACUUAAACUCACAUACCCUUUUUAAACCACACCGACACCCGCAACGCCUUUGCAUAAAUUCAAAUGUUUUUAUUUUGCCCUGGCUUGCAACGGCAUAUGUUUAAUCCCGCACCGCAUCGUACGUGUCUAAAUGUGCACCGCCCUGCACCAUGGCCAUCCUAGAUGUCAAGUUGUCAACAAGCUUAAACGCUCACAGUCCUUUCCUCUAUGCUAUAAUUUAGCUAAAACAAAGAAAAAUCGUAUUCGUAUAUAAACAUUACAAUUCAACAAGUCUAAUUAUUGUCCAUCACCAAGUUUAUGUUAUAUAUAUGGUCACUUAUCAUAAAGGAACAAACUGGGAAGAUGCAACCUAGUAAACGUGAAAGUAACAUAUGUGUUUAGCUCAAAAACUAUAUUCGUAUUUUGUAAGCCUAAAAUAAUCAAAAAUAUAUGAGGAUAAAUCGUAAUCAAAUAUAAUAAGCACAAGAGAUGAUUAUCACUUCGAGAGUUUUCGUUGAUCUAUAAAUAGUUGAUAAAAAUGGACUUAGUUUAAUAAGGAAGUGAUGGUUAUGAACUUGAGGGAGAGAAUAGAGAUUGAAAUAGAGAUUGUAUUAUUCGAGAAUAACACUCAUGCCCUUUUACAAAGAGAAGGUUAAAAGGAAACCUUCCUCGAACAAAUAAAAAAAGUACAAAGGUUGGCGGCUUCCACUCAGUAAAGGGAGUCAGGUGCUAAACGACGUCAUUCUUGGUUUAGGCCGCACCCUUGCUUGGGUCGCGCUUAUCAUGAGGGACGUGGCCACCUGACAUGGGGAUGUGAUGAGCCAAAUUUAGCCUAUGCAGUUAGUCCUUCCGUUUGUUGGAGAUGUAUUCGAUGAUCGUCUUCAAUGGACGGACAUGCAUGAUUCAUUUUUUACGAAAAUUUGGCUAUGCCCGUAGGCGCUCCCUUUUCAGUACAUGGGCAUGGAUAACAUUGAUUGGGCCGUUGACGUGCGACCCACCUUUUUUAAGGUGACGUCAACAGUCACAUGCAUCAACAUUAUACAUGUUCCCGAGACUUGUUCAGAACGCGGCGUGAUGUUUUGGUUUCCGGCGCCGGUUUCAGAACUGAGUCUCUUCGAUUCCCGUGUGUCUUUCUCCUAUAAAUAGGAGAGUGGUUCAAAGAGUUUCAUCUUUCGAUCUUUUAGAAAGUUUUCCUUUGCUUCUUUCUUCAACCUUCUUUCCUGUAAUAGUUAUAUCGUUUUCAUAGGUAUACCUUUCCCGAGAAUUAUCUUACACACUACCAACACUUCAUUCUUCACUUCGUAUUAUGGCAAAGCGCCAAGAAAGCAAAAAUGCUAAGGUCAGUUCCCCUUCUAGGGUUCUACCCUCUUCUGAUGGUGAAGGGGAAGGAGUGGGAAAAACCCUAGUUCCUUUAACGGUAGACAACAUUUUACCGAAGGACUUUAGUGCGAGAAAAGACUUCAAUACGGCAAGCCCCUCUCAUGCUUGGGAGGAGAGUGACUUACUUCAGUCUCACCUGGACGUCAUCACGACCAGGUACAACGUUCCUGAUUAUGUUGAGAUAGUUCCGAUUGGAACGGACCAUGCCAAUGUACAUAAACCCGACUUUUGUACAUUUUACGAAUAUGCUCUCAAGACUGGGUAUAGCUUUCUACUCAACCCUUUGGCGGAAGAGCUCUGUCGCUUUUACCAAGUAUGUCCAGAUCAGCCCACACCUUACGCUGAAAGUGUGUCGGAUCGUUACUACGCUAGCAGGUGAGGCCGGGGCCAUUGUUUUUUUCAUUACUUGCUACAGAUGUUCAGCCCUAACUAUAUGAGGGGUACCAUGCUCCAACUGAGGAGCCGUGGCAAGAAGAGCUUUGACGUGAGGGCUGACGACAAAGCUAACCGCGAGUUCUGGCAUAUGUUCUUUUACGUUAGGAUGAGCCAUUUAGUGUCCGAUCCUGAAGGAUUCCCAGAGGCAUGGAAUGUAGGAUGUAAGUAUCCCUAUAUGUAACCUUGCGACGUUCUGUUUUGACUGACUAAAUUCUGAACUUACUUUCUGCCUUCUUAUCUUUUUGUAGUGGCGACUUGCUCACCCCGCCCCGUUGGCGACAUUAGGUCGUGGAUGGCGGGGUCGAUACCAUAUGCGGAGAAAUGCCGCACUUGGGCUGAAUUCCGUAGGUUGUACGGUAAUAUAUAUAUAAACUAUAUUCGUAUUUUGUAAGCCUAAAGCUAGGAAACCUUCCUACCUGAUGUGCUUAUCGUUCGCCAAGUCGGGGUGCUUCUUAAAGGACGAAGAAGAAGAAGACCGAAGCCAGCCCGGCCAGGGCGGAGUCUAACUCCGAAGAUAUAUUUGUGGGCGGCUCAACCAGAGGUAGCCCCAUUUUGAUUCCCCGCCAAGGGACUACAGCGGCCGUUGAGGGUGUGAGGAGGCCCAAUGAGCCUCACCAAGUGCCAAGGUCGACUUUUAUGGCCGAGGCCAUUCGUGCUGGGCGAAUGGUCCCCCAGAGGGCAGCCGCCGCCCGUUGUCUCAUGCAUCAGGAGGUUAAUCAUCCUCCGUUGUUAAUGAGGUUGUCGUGGAGACUGAGAGGACGGGCUCUGAAGCCACUCUCGAGGAGGCACCGGGCAGCUCGGCCCGUGUGGAAAUUAAGGAAGGCCAGUGUACUCACCGCAUUGUGAUCCGUGGGGGAUACAACUUAUUAGAGGACAUCAAGCAGGUUGUAGCGGACAUGAAUCUGUUGUGCGCGGGUGCGGAGCAUGAGUCGCCGAUAGAUGUCAGCAACGGGGACUUGUCGAGGCGGGUAGCCGGUUCGACUUUACAAGUAGAUUUCAGCCCUAUCUUUGUUUUGUCGUUCAAAAGCAGCUAUGGUUUGUACUGACGCAUUUCUUUUCUUAUUUUUCAGACCCUCGUUUUGGAGGUAGAGUGGAGGUGACACGACCAGAAGAAAACGGCCACCUUCUCCAAAAUGUCAAAGAAGUACAAGGAGGUCUGUGCCAAGCAUCGGGCAUUGGCAUAUAUGUUUGAGCAGGAUCCCCAAUUCCGGACAAUCCGCGAGGGCCUUAAGGAAUCAUAGGCUCUUUUGAAGAAGAAGGCGGCGGAGCUAAAGGAGUUGGAUGAGCAUUUGAUGGUUGCCUUGGAUCGAAAAAUGAACUGGAAACUCUCCUUCGCUCAAGGGAGGAGUACUUGGAGAUCAGUCGUGGGGUGGCGGCCGAGGCUUCGAAAUUUGCGGGCUCGGGUUGCUAACCUUGCGGCCGAGCUGGAUUCCAGGACGACCGAAGUUGAGGCCCUUAGGCGAUCGCCCCCACAAGAUGCCACGCACCGUGAGGCAUACGAGAUGUGGGUGUACCACGACGCCAAAUUGGUCAUCUUUGAGGAGCUUUUGGUGGCGGGCCGAGCUUUCGAGGUGGAAAUAGAGAGGCACCGACGCUUGACUCGCCCGUGAAGCGGACGGUUAUAACUCUGACUCGCCUGGUAGAGAGGGCUAUAAUUCCGAGGAUGUCAAUCGCCUAGACUCCAGCUCGUGGAUUUCCAGGACUUAUAAGCCUGGGGACGGCAGCGGACCUGAUGAGAGAGGCCCUUAGGGCUUGUAUAUGAAUAUUUUUGUAGAAGGAAAUUCUGUAGGACCCGUUGUAUGUAUACUUUUUUGAUAAAUGAAAUAUACUCUCUCUUCCCUCCCUUUGCCGCUAUUUUCCUUUCGUUCUUUAGAGCUUUUGUUGCGCUCUUUGUUGACUGUCAGUGUUGGCGGCCUUGGUCGAAUCUUAGAUCAAUGGUUUUAGCCGUAAUAGAAUCGACAGCCUUAGCAAAUGUAGGCUACUUCGACUAUUGUUGAGUCAUUUAUCCAUCGUGGUCGAAUCUUAGGUCGACCGUUGGUAAAGAUGGCCUUAGCCAUAAUGUAAUCGGUGGCCUUGGCUAUGAUAGAACUGAUGGCCUUGGCCAUGUAGGCGACUUCAACCGUUGUCGAGUCGUUUAUUCACCGUGGUCGAAUCUUAGGACGACCGUUGGUGAAGAUGGCCUUAGACAUAAUGUGAUCGAUGGCCUUGGCCAUGAUAGAACUGAUGGCCUUGGCCAUGUAGGCGAAUUCGACUGUUGUUGAGUCGUGUAUUUACCGUAGUCGAAUUUAGGUCGACCAUUGGUGGUGAUGGCCUUACCCGUGAUAUAAUUGACAGCCUUAGCCAUGUCGGGCGACUUCGACUGUUGUCGAGUCGUUUAUUCACAGUGGUCGAAUCUUAGGUCGACCGUUGGUGAAGAUAGCCUUAGCCAUGAUAUAAUUGAUGGCCUUAGCCAUGUCAGCGACUUCGACUGUUGUCGAGUUGUUUAUUCACCGUGAUUGAGUCUUAGGUCGACCGUUGGUGAAGAUGGCCUUAGCCAUCAUGUAAUCUAUGGCCUUGGCCAUGAUUGAGCUGAUGGCUUUGGCCAUGUAGGCGACUUCGACUGUCGUCGAGUCGUUUAUUCACCGUGGUCGAAUCUUAGGUUUACCGUUGAUGGUGAGGGCCUUAGUCAUGAUAUCAUUGAUGGACUUAGCCAUGUUGGCAACUUCGACUAUCAUCGAGUCAUUUAUUCACCAUGGUCGAAUCUUAGGUCGACCGCUGGUGAAGAUGGCCUUAGCCAUAAUGUAAUUGAUGGCCUUGGCCAUGAUUGAACUGAUGGCCGUAACCUUUCAUUCAUUGGAGGUGGCCGUAGCCUUUCAUUCAUUGGAGAUGGUCGUAGCCUUUCAUACAUUGGAGAUGGUCGUAGUCUUUCAUUCGUUGGAUAUGACAGUAGCCUUUCAUACAUUGGAGAUGGUCGUAGCCUUUCAUACAUUGAAGAUGACUGUAGCCUUUCAUACAUUGGAGAUGGCCGUAGUCUUUCAUACAUUGGACAUGGUCGUAGCAUUUCAUACAUUGGAGAUGAAGCUAGUCCAGUCCAUUUAUCAUGUCGGCCUGGAGGUUGUAAAGAGGGGCUGACAUGAUAAACUUGUUCCUCAAAUAUCCCCAGGUAUCCCCUCCGUCGCCUCCUUAAAAACCUCCUUGAAAAACCCCAAUUAGGACAAAACUCGAGUAAGGGAAAUAGAGUACGACUCGGGAGAUGCCUUUAGAAGUGGAAAUACUUGAGGUGAGCAACGUUCCAGUUGCUUUGGAGUGUUUUUCCUUCCAUCGUUUCUAACUGGAAUGCGCCUUUGCUGGCUAGUGCUAUGAUUUUGUAGGGUCCUUCCCAGUUGGUGCCCAGUUUUCUUUCACUUGGGUCUUUGGAUGCCAAUAUCUUGGCUUUGAGGACGUAAUCUUCCACCUUGAGUGGUCUUAUUUUGGCCCUCUUGUUGUAGUAUCUUUCGACUUGUUGCUUUUGAGCCACCAUUCUAAUGUGGGAUGUUUCACUCCUUUCCUCAGCUUUGUCGAGGUCUUAGAAUAUGUUGGCAUCAUUUUCUGUUUCACUAGUGUGUGAAUAUCUCAGGCUUGGUUCGCCGACCUCGAUGGGUAUGACCGCGUCAGUUCUGCAGACCAGCGAGUACGGUGUUUCCCCUGUGCUGGAUUUGGGUGUGGUCCAGUAUGCCCAAAAUACCUCGGGUAGCAGCUCGGGCAUAGCCCUUUGGCGUCCUCGAGUUUCUUCUUCAGUAUGUUUAAUAUUGUUUUGUUGGAGGAUUCCGCUUGACCAUUGGCGUAGAGUGAUAGGCAUGGAAAGUAUACUCUUGAUGUGCCAUUUCUCGAAGAACUCGAUCGUUUUUUGACAAACGAACUGUCGUCCGUUGUCACAACUAAUUUCGUUGGGGAUGCCGAAGCGGCAUAUGAUAUUUUUCCAGAUGAAGGCGAUUACCUUCUGUUUGCGUAUUUGUGCGUACGCACCUGCUUCUAUCCACAUAGAAAAAUAGUCAGUAAGUACUAAUAGAAAACGUACAUUUUCGCGUCCUGCAGGUAGGGGGCCGACUAUGACCAUUCCCCAUUAAAUGAAAGGCCAUGUGGAGGUGACCGAAUGGAGGGGCUCUCCUAGUUGGUGUAUCAUAGGGGCGUAUCUUUGGCAUUGCUCGCAUUGGCGAACAUAUUCUGCCGCCUCCUUCUUCAAGGUGGGCCAGUAAUAGCCGGGCCAUAUGAUAAAUCGUACGAGGGCGCAGUUUCCUGUAUGAGCACCGCAGUGAUCCUCGUGUACUUCUUCAAGUACCGGCCUUGUUUGGUGCGGCCCCAAGCACUUGGCCAAUGUUCCACCAAACAUUCUCUUGUAGAGGUCUUUGUUUAUUAAGCCGUACCGAGCGGCUUACGUGCGGAGUUUCUUUUCUCCUUUCUUGUCGGGUGGCAGCGUCCCGUCCUAUAGAUAAGAUACAAUCUGGUUGCGCCAGUCCCAAUUCAAAUUUAAAGAGAAUACCUUAAUGUGAUCAAUAGAGGAGUGGAGGAGAGUGACUACGCUUUCUUUGUUGAAGUUUUUAGUAGCCGUAGCAAGUUUUGCUAAACCGUCUACUUCGAUAUUCCGUGACCUUGGGAUCUAUUCUAGGUGACAUUCGUCCAACGUGGUUAUUAACAUGCAGAUCUCUGGCUGGUUUUUUUGCAGUCUCUGUUCUUUUGUCUGGUAAGUCCCUGUGACUUGGUUUACCACGAGUUGGGAAUCGUAGUGGAUGAUGAGUCGGCACGCGCCAUAUUUUAUGGCCAGCUUCAUGCGUACAAUAACAGCCUCGUACUUGGCCUUGUUGUUAGUCAUUUCGGGGGCAUUGUAUGGACUGGCGAACCAUUUCGCCCGUGGGGACCUCGAGGACGAGUCCCAGUCCCGAUCUCAAUGCAUUGGCGGCGCCAUCAGUCAGUGUAGAGGACCCAUAGGUCGUUAUUGGCAGAGGCAUAAAGUGCCUCGAGUUCUACCUUUGGCAUGAUUUCUGCACUAAAAUCGACUAUAAAAUCGGCCAGGACUUGCGACUUAAUGGCGGUUCUAGAAAGAUAUGAGAUGUCGUGCUCACUGAGCUCAAUGGCCCAUCUUGCGAGCCAGCCCGAUAAUUUGAGCUUGUGUAGAACGCUUAUUAAUGGAAAGAUUUUUAUCGCUUUUAUGGGGUGGCAUUGUAAAUAGGGUCGUAGCUUUCGUGAAGCUAUGACCAGUGCCAAUGCUAACCUUUCGAGGUGUGGGUACCGAGUUUCAGCGUCCACUAAGGUUUUGCUAAUGUAAUAGACAGGGGAUUGUAUACCUUUGUUCUCGCGAAUGACGACGACGCUAACAGCGACCUCUAAUACGGCCAGAUAAACUAGUAAGGGUUCGCCCAGACUUGCCUUGACCAGCAAGGGCGGCGAAUACAAGUAUGCUUUCAACUUCCUCAAGGCUUCGACGCAUUCCUCAUUCCAUUGUAGUCCUUGAUCUUUUUUUAGUAUGUUGAAAAACUUAUGGCACCUAUCGGAUGACCGUGAGAUGAAGCGGGACAGGGCGGUUAUAUGCCACGUCAGCUUUUGUACCUGUUUCUUGCUACUCAGCACCUCAGGUAUUGCGUCAAUUGCCUUGAUCUGGUCUGGAUUGACCCCGAUGCCUCGUUGCGAUAUGAGGAAUCCUAAGAUUUUUCCUGAAGCUACACCGAAGGCACAUUUCUCGGGGUUCAAUUUCAUCUCGUACCUCUUCAGUAUUUCGAAAGCCUCCUUUAGGUGGCCAAUAUGGUCCUCUUUCCUUGCCGAAUUUACUAGCAUAUCGUCGAUGUAGACUUCAAUGGUCUUACCGAGUUGCUCUUUGAAAAUUUUGGUUACCAGCUUCUGAUACGUGGCUCCUGCAUUCUUGAGCCCGAAGGGCAUUACUUUGUAGCAGUAUGUCCCCCGGUGGGUGAUGAAAGUUGUUUUUCCUUGAUCCUAUUCAGCCAUCAUAAUUUGAUUGUAACCGGAGUAUGCAUUUAGAAAACUUAGCAGCUCAAGCCCCGCGGUCGCGUCUAUUAGCUGGUCAAUAUAGGGCAGUGGGAAGGAAUCUUUCAGGCAUGCCUUAUUUAAGUCGGUGAAGUCUACACACAUUCUCCACUUCCCAUUCUUCUUUUUGACCAUGAUGACGUUGGCGACCCACUGAGGGUACUUUGAUUCUCGGAUGGAACCGUUGGCCAAAAGUUUUUCAACUUCUUCACCGACCACUUUGUUGAUCGGGGUGUUGAAUUUUCUUCUCAUUUGUUGUACAUGCCAGUGUAAUGGAUAAACAUUCAGCUUGAAUAGCGAUUUCUCGCGGGAUUCUCGGCAUAUCUGAAUAGGAAAAAGCAAACAGGUCUGUAUGGUUAGAUAAAAAUUCACGACACUUACGUGGAUUUGAAAGGCCGUGUCCGAUGUACGCCUUCCUUGUAGGGUCGUUGUUGUCUAGUUGGACCAGGUCAAGGUCUUCGACCGUAGCCUUACGGGAUUCUACGACAUCAGGGUCUUUAAUGGCGAUUUCUGUCAAGAGGACCUUAGUCCCCGAUAUAGUUGAUUGCUAUGUGUCUGUGCUUUCCCCCUUAAGUUGUUUGGUGUGGGCGCAGUCUUGCGCUAUUUUAUAGCACUCUUGAGCGGUGUGGGGCUCGCCUCGAAUGCUGAAUAUUCCUCACCGGGUGGAAAAUUUAACCAUUUGGUAGAAACUCGAAGGGACCGCUCUCAUGGCGUGUAUCUACGGUCGCCCAAUAAUGACGUUGUAUGAUGUUUUCUGGUUCAUCACGUGGAAAGUUGUUUCUAGCGUGACUGCCCCACUAGGACGGGUAGCGAUAUCUCUCCUGAGGUUUGUUCCACUGCAUUAUUGAAACUUAUUAGUGUUAUGCAACGCGGUAUUACCUUAUCCUCGAGUCCCAUUAGAACGAGGACCCUCUGGUGGAUAAUACAGUCGCCACUGCCAUCAUCGACCAUUAUUAUUUUAUCAUCUGUAUCGUUCGUGGGCGAUGGUUAGCUUCAGUUUGUGCGUAGUGGUGAACUUGACGUGGUUGAUUGCUGAAUCGUUGUUGUUCCCAAUGAUCAUGUUGAUCGUGCAGGCUGGUGAGGGCAGCUUUAGUGGCCCGUGAUGUUGCUCCCAUCCCGCGUGCAAAGUUGAUUUUUCUUUUGUCGCUGAGUAACUCCCUCAGGAACCCUUGGUUCAACAUCCUGACUACCUCUUGUCGUAGACCUAUACAGUCUUCGGUUUUGUUCCCCCGCUCCUGGUGGAACUCGCACAAGGUAUUUGAUUUUUUGGUGGUGGGGUCCGACUUCAUUGUUGCCGUUCAUUACACCUUGUUGCCCAGCUUCUCAAGUGCUUACACUAUCUCUGAAGGGGACACACAAACAUUAUGGGUAGAUAUAAAGAGGGCGUACCUCUAUCGUUUCGUAGUGGAGUGACAUGUCGCUGUAGUGCAUUCGCGUGUGGCGGGUGAAAGGAUCUGAUAUAGGGUUGGUGCCUCUCCAUGUUGGAUGUGGGCCUUGUUCCCGUCGUCCUUCGUUGCAUCAAUCUCUCCUGAUCUCUAGAUGUAUCGUUGUUAGACGUUGGGUCGGUCCGUUGAGGUCGUCCUCGUCUGUGCGCACCACAGCGCAAUAAGCGUUUUGGAUAUCUUCCCAUGUGGUGGGUGGGUACUUCAUGAGGCGGAUGAGUAAUUUUUUGGUCGCCCUCGAGCCAUUACUGCUUAACCUAUUUUGGAAAGCAACGACUGCCAUGCCCUUCGAUACGUUGGGUAGGCUCAUCCUUACCCUAUUGAACCUGGCUAGAAUGUACCUGAGUCCUUCCCCUAUGGUUUGCCGAACGGCGAAGAUGUCGUUGACCCUUGCUUCUGCUUUCUUAGCUCCUGAAUGUGCGGUGACAAACUUGUCCGCCAUUUCCUCGAACGUGGAAAUAAUUUUGGCUGGUAGGGGAAUACUAGGUCAGUGCCCCCCUGUUAGGAUUUCGCCGAACUUCUUCAGUAGUACAGACAGUACCUGUUCCUUUAAGAGGUCGUUACCUUUUACGACAGUGACGUAGUGGAUCAAGUGGUCCUCGGGAUCUGUAGUUCCGUCGUACACUCUUAGAUACAGCAACAUUUCGAAGGUUUUCGGAAUGGGGUAUGGUGGAACCUCUUCUUUGUAGGGUUGUUCAACAAACCUCACCACGUCAUGCUUUGGCAGCAUUUUGGGGCACCAGGGAUUUUAUCUACCAUUUCUUGGCAUUGUGAAGGUUUUUGGAAUGGGAUAUGGUGCAGCCUCUUCCGCGUAGGGUUGUUCAACAAAUCUCCUCACGUCACGUUUCGACAGCAUUUUGGGGACACCAGGGAUUUGUCCACCCUUUCUUGGUGUUCCUUCAUCUGGCCACAGAGCGACCUGUUUUCGUUUUCCAUUUCCUCCAUCUUCUUGAAGAUGGCUGCGAGCGCAUCGACGUCGGCCCGAGUUUCGAGGGGCGCAUUGUUUGCGCGGGUGACCUCGGGUUCGCCUCCAACUGCACCAAGAUCUGUGGUUGGCCAGCAUCUAACAUUGUGUCGAGGUGAAUUCUUAACCAGGCUGCUUAGAGUGCUUUUUAACCACUCUUCCAGUAGCUUCUUGACCUCUGGGGUGCUUCUUCAGGUGUAGAUGUGGAAGCGCCUUUUUCCUGCAAGAUCACUAGAUCUUCGAGUGGUGGAGGUAGGAUUUAUCCGCUCAAAGUGGUACUAGGGAUUGUAAUCAUGACCCCAUCUUCACCGGCUUCGUUGAGAGGACCGAUGAGAUUGGUUGCAACAUCUGCUAUUGUUUUCAUUCUUGGGUUUUUGUCAGCCAUUUUUCGUUUUUGUGUAAUAAAGAAAGGUUUUCGAUGGUUCUCUAGGUGUAAACUAUGAUUUUGAUUCUCGAAAUCCCCACAGCUGGCGCCAAAUUGUUUAGCUCAAAAAUUAUAUUUGUAUUUUGUAAGCCUAAAAACAAUCGAAAAUAUAUGGGGGUAAAUCGUAAUCAAAUAUAAUAAGCCCAAAAGAUGAUUAUCACUUCCAGAGUUUUUGUUGAUCUGUAAAUAAUUGAUAAAAAUAGACUUAGCUUAAUAAGGAAGCGAUGGUUAUGAACUUGAGAGACAGAGAAUAGAGAUUGAAAUAGAGAUUGUAUUAUUCGAGAAUAACACUUGUCACACCUCCUUUUGGCCCGAGCCCGCAGGGGCACGAGGGGUUAAGGGAGUUUUUUCCAAUUAAAGGACAAUCGAAACGUAAUGUAUUAUUAGGAUUCAGAGUCGCCACUUGAGAGAUUUAUGUUGUCCCAAGUCACCGGUUUAAUCCCGAAUCGAGGAAAAGAAUGACUCUGUAUUACAGUCCGCGAACCAAAAAUCCGGAUAAGGAAUUCUGUUAACCCGGGAGAAUGUGUUAGGCAUUCUCGAGUUCCGUGGUUCUAGCACGGUCGCUCAACUGUUGUAUUCAGCUUAAAUUAUCUGAUUUUUAACACUUAUGAAAUUAUGCGCAAUUAACUCUUUUACCGCUUCUAUUAUUAUUAUUAUUAUUAUUAUUAUUAUUAUUAUUAUUAUUAUUAUUAUUAUUAUUAUUAUUAUUAUUAUUAUUAUUAUUAUUAUUAUUUUAACAAAGAAUUGCAACGUCGUGAAAACGUAUUUCUAACCACGUCACAGCCAGUGUACACAUGGUCGUCGACACAUUUCAACUCCGUUAGGAUUUGGAUUUGGGCCAUAUAAAUGCGCACCCGUGUUUAAGAAGGUAUGAUUAAAAUACGCGCCUAAAGAGUCUAGCGCAUUAUUAUUUUGGGGAAAGUCGUGCAAUUCGUUAAAAGACUCAUCCCGAAUUCCAAAUAUUUUUAAUAAAUACACUUAUGAAGGCCCCGCAGUUUGUGCGUUUUAUUUGGCGACUCGUUUCAUUUUUUUUUAAAAAGCAAACCUAAAAGCAACUACGAUUCUCUACUUUAUUUGUCUCUAAAAAAGAGAAAUCCUAAUUUAUUAACUAAGAUUAUUCAGAGUCAUUAAUCGGAUUAUAUGAAAUGCAUCCCCGAAUUUUAGAAACUAAGCAUUACAACUACGUCACGGGAUCUGUACCUGUAAUCAUAAUGAUGUAUUAAUUAAGAAUUUGCCUAAGGCAUGCACCUAAUGAUUAAUUCAACUCGGAUAAACGGAGAAAUCACCUUAAAGUUAAAUUGAUGUACCCAAUUCUAUUUAAAGGAGUUUCGACCCAAACUUAAGGACUGAUUAAUCAUUAUCAAUACGUUAAAUCCAUGUAAUACACCAACAUUCAAAUACGCCACAAAUGGAACAAACUAUAGGAGAGAAAAAUUUUACAUACUACUCAUAUUCCUUAAGUAUCAAAUUAAAUUAAAUGAAAUAAGCUUUUAUACCCCACUCUCAACCCAAUAAGUCCCCACUAAAACAGUAAAUGAAGCAACAAACUCAUACAUUUAGGAAAUCAAAACAUUAACAUAUUAAAAAGAUAAACAUUGUAAUAGAACAACUCAUUCAUAAAUAUUGUAACAAUACAAAACAAGAGGCAAGAGUUAAUCUUACAUUGAAACCUUGUAGUAAAUGGAGUUAAUCACUGUUUACCGGACCAAAAAUGGAAAACUCUAACAGAACACGUAGCAGCGCCGGAACCUCGAUGACGACCUCAAAUCUCAAACGGACG
Molecule: long non-coding RNA, 16452 nt
Filed under: Nicotiana benthamiana
Lineage: Eukaryota; Viridiplantae; Streptophyta; Magnoliopsida; Solanales; Solanaceae
Description: long non-coding RNA (NBEN_LNC023946)
Source: RNAcentral